AACGAACGCUGGCGGCAUGCCUAACACAUGCAAGUCGAACGAGACCUUCGGGUCUAGUGGCGCACGGGUGCGUAACGCGUGGGAACCUGCCCUUAGGUUCGGAAUAACUCCCCGAAAGGGGUGCUAAUACCGGAUAAUGUCUUCGGACCAACGAUUUAUCGCCUUUGGAUGGGCCCGAGUUGGAUUAGCUAGUUGGUAGGGUAAAAGCCUACCAAGGCGACGAUCCAUAGCUGGUCUGAGAGGAUGAUCAGCCACACUGGGACUGAGACACGGCCCAGACUCCUACGGGAGGCAGCAGUGGGGAAUAUUGGACAAUGGGCGAAAGCCUGAUCCAGCAAUGCCGCGUGAGUGAUGAAGGCCUUAGGGUUGUAAAGCUCUUUUACCCGGGAUGAUAAUGACAGUACCGGGAGAAUAAGCUCCGGCUAACUCCGUG
RNAcentral lists this ribosomal RNA (433 nucleotides) under uncultured bacterium. Its description in RNAcentral is "partial 16S ribosomal RNA". It matches the Rfam family "Bacterial small subunit ribosomal RNA", at positions 29 to 507 of the family's 1533-position model. The record is from RNAcentral.